RNAcentral lists this ribosomal RNA (231 nucleotides) under Alcaligenes faecalis. Its description in RNAcentral is "partial 16S ribosomal RNA". It matches the Rfam family "Bacterial small subunit ribosomal RNA", at positions 87 to 322 of the family's 1533-position model. Lineage: Bacteria; Pseudomonadati; Pseudomonadota; Betaproteobacteria; Burkholderiales; Alcaligenaceae. The record is from RNAcentral.
GGCGGCGAGUGGCGGACGGGUGAGUAAUGUAUCGGAACGUGCCCGAUAGCGGGGGAUAACUACUGGAAAGAGUGGCUAAUACCGCAUACGCCCUACGGGGGAAAGGGGGGGAUCGCAAGACCUCUCGCUAUUGGAUGGGCCGAUAUGGGAUUAGCUAGUUGGUGGGGUAAAGGCUCACCUGGCAACGAUCCGUAGCUGGUUUGAGAGGACGACCAGCCACACUGGGACUGA